CGCCUCUUGAUUAACUAUAAGAGGUGUAGCCUGCCCAGUGACACUAGUUCAACGGCCGCGGUAUCCUAACCGUGCGAAGGUAGCGUAAUCACUUGUUUUUUAAAUAAAGACUUGUAUGAAAGGCUUCACGAGGGCCUAACUGUCUCCUUUUUCUUAUCAGUGAAACUGAUCUCCCCGUGAAGAAGCGGGGAUUUUUUUAUAAGACGAGAAGACCCUAUGGAGCUUUAAACUUUACAACACCUGCUUCCUAUUGCUAUUUUCAGAAAACUAUACCCACAGCAACCUGUUUGUGAGCUUUCGGUUGGGGCGACCCCGGAGAACAACUUAUCCUCCGCAAUGAAUAGACACCUCUUUAGUUAAAAGUCACAUCUUAAUACACCAGAAAACUGACAUAUAUUGACCCAAAAUUUUGAUCAACGAACUAAGUUACCCUAGGGAUAACAGCGCUAUCCACUUUGAAAGUUCCUAUCGACAAGUGGGCUUACGACCUCGAUGUUGGAUCAGGGUAUCCUAGUGGUGCAGCCGCUACUAAGGGUUCGUUUGUUCAACGAUUAAAACCCU
RNAcentral lists this ribosomal RNA (561 nucleotides) under Oreobates cruralis (La Paz robber frog). RNAcentral's name for it is "partial 16S ribosomal RNA". It matches the Rfam family "Bacterial large subunit ribosomal RNA", at positions 1832 to 2597 of the family's 2925-position model. Lineage: Eukaryota; Metazoa; Chordata; Amphibia; Anura; Strabomantidae. The record is from RNAcentral.